GGGGUUGUGGCUCAGUGGUAGAGCACUUGCCUAGCACGUGCGAGGCACUGGGUUCAAUCCCCAGCACCCCA
Molecule: transfer RNA, 71 nt
Filed under: Ictidomys tridecemlineatus (thirteen-lined ground squirrel)
Lineage: Eukaryota; Metazoa; Chordata; Mammalia; Rodentia; Sciuridae
Description: Spermophilus tridecemlineatus (thirteen-lined ground squirrel) tRNA
Rfam family: tRNA
About the family: Transfer RNA (tRNA) molecules are approximately 80 nucleotides in length. Their secondary structure includes four short double-helical elements and three loops (D, anti-codon, and T loops). Further hydrogen bonds mediate the characteristic L-shaped molecular structure. tRNAs have two regions of fundamental functional importance: the anti-codon, which is responsible for specific mRNA codon recognition, and the 3' end, to which the tRNAs corresponding amino acid is attached (by aminoacyl-tRNA synthetases). tRNAs cope with the degeneracy of the genetic code in two manners: having more than one tRNA (with a specific anti-codon) for a particular amino acid; and 'wobble' base-pairing, i.e. permitting non-standard base-pairing at the 3rd anti-codon position.
Source: Rfam by way of RNAcentral